This 460-nucleotide ribosomal RNA is filed under the name uncultured bacterium. RNAcentral's name for it is "partial 16S ribosomal RNA". It matches the Rfam family "Bacterial small subunit ribosomal RNA", at positions 338 to 795 of the family's 1533-position model. The record is from RNAcentral.
CCUACGGGUGGCAGCAGUGAGGAAUAUUGGUCAAUGGGCGCGAGCCUGAACCAGCCAAGUAGCGUGAAGGAUGACUGCCCUACGGGUUGUAAACUUCUUUUAUAAAGGAAUAAAGUGAGGCACGUGUGCCUUUUUGUAUGUACUCUACGAAUACGGAUCGGCUAACUCCGUGCCAGCAGCCGCGGUAAUACGGAGGAUCCGAGCGUUAUCCGGAUUUAUUGGGUUUAAAGGGAGCGUAGAUGGGUUGGUAAGUUAGUUGUGAAAGUUUGGGGCUCAACCGUAAAAUUGCAAUUGAUACUGGCAGUCUUGAGUACAGUUGAGGUAGGCGGAAUUCGUGGUGUAGCGGUGAAAUGCGUAGAUAUCACGAAGAACUCCGAUUGCGAAGGCAGCUUACUAGACUGCCACUGACGUUGAUGCACGAAAGUGUGGGGAGCAAACAGGAUUAGAUACCCCUGUAGUC